CGCGGCCUAUCAGCUUGUUGGUGGGGUAAUGGCCUACCAAGGCGACGACGGGUAGCCGGCCUGAGAGGGCGACCGGCCACACUGGGACUGAGACACGGCCCAGACUCCUACGGGAGGCAGCAGUGGGGAAUAUUGCACAAUGGGCGAAAGCCUGAUGCAGCGACGCCGCGUGAGGGAUGACGGCCUUCGGGUUGUAAACCUCUUUCAGCAGGGAAGAAGCGAAAGUGACGGUACCUGCAGAAGAAGCGCCGGCUAACUACGUGCCAGCAGCCGCGGUAAUACGUAGGGCGCAAGCGUUAUCCGGAAUUAUUGGGCGUAAAGAGCUCGUAGGCGGUUUGUCGCGUCUGCUGUGAAAUCCGGAGGCUCAACCUCCGGCCUGCAGUGGGUACGGGCAGACUAGAGUGCGGUAGGGGAGAUUGGAAUUCCUGGUGUAGCGGUGGAAUGCGCAGAUAUCAGGAGGAACACCGAUGGCGAAGGCAGAUCUCUGGGCCGUAACUGACGCUGAGGAGCGAAAGGGUGGGGAGCAAACAGGCUUAGAUACCCUGGUAGUCCACCCCGUAAACGUUGGGAACUAGUUGUGGGGUCCAUUCCACGGAUUCCGUGACGCAGCUAACGCAUUAAGUUCCCCGCC
RNAcentral lists this ribosomal RNA (631 nucleotides) under uncultured Actinomycetes bacterium. RNAcentral describes it as "bacterial SSU rRNA". It matches the Rfam family "Bacterial small subunit ribosomal RNA", at positions 232 to 873 of the family's 1533-position model. Lineage: Bacteria; Bacillati; Actinomycetota; Actinomycetes. The record is from RNAcentral.